This 254-nucleotide ribosomal RNA is filed under the name uncultured bacterium. RNAcentral's name for it is "partial 16S ribosomal RNA". It matches the Rfam family "Bacterial small subunit ribosomal RNA", at positions 96 to 334 of the family's 1533-position model. The record is from RNAcentral.
CGGCGAACGGGAGAGUAACGCGUGGGUAACCUACCCAGAAGUGGGGGAUAGCCUCGGGAAACCGGGGGUAAUACCGCAUGUACUGCAGUCGACACAAGUCGAUUGCCGAAAAGGCGGGGAUCCUUCGGGACCUGUCGCUUCUGGAUGGGCCCGCGUCCGAUUAGCUAGUUGGUGGGGUAAUGGCCCACCAAGGCUUCGAUCGGUAGCCGGCCUGAGAGGGUGAACGGCCUCAUUGGGACUGAGACACGGCCCAG